RNAcentral lists this ribosomal RNA (468 nucleotides) under uncultured bacterium. RNAcentral describes it as "partial 16S ribosomal RNA". It matches the Rfam family "Bacterial small subunit ribosomal RNA", at positions 28 to 507 of the family's 1533-position model. The record is from RNAcentral.
GACGAACGCUGGCGGCGUGCUUAACACAUGCAAGUCGAACGGAAAGGCCUUGCACUUGUGGGGUGCUCGAGUGGCGAACGGGUGAGUAACACGUGAGUAACCUGUCCCUGACUUUGGGAUAACUUAAGGAAACUGGGGCUAAUAUCGGACAGGAGCACCUGCUGCAUGGUGGGGGUUGGAAAGUUUCGGCGGUUGGGGAUGGACUCGCGGCUUAUCAGCUUGUUGGUGGGGUAGUGGCUUACCAAUGCUUCGACGGGUAGCCAGCCUGAGAGGGUGACCGGCCACAUUGGGACUGAGAUACGGCCCAGACUCCUACGGGAGGCAGCAGUGGGGAAUAUUGCACAAUGGGCGGAAGCCUGAUACAGCGACGCCGCGUGCGAGAUGACGGCCUUCGGGUUGUAAACCGCUUUCGCCUGUGACGAAGCGUGAGUGACGGUAAUGGGUAAAGAAGCACCGGCUAACUACGUG